AUUGAACGCUGGCGGCAUGCCUAACACAUGCAAGUCGAACGUGAACGAGUAGCAAUACUUUAGUAAAGUGGCGGACGGGUGAGUAAUGCAUAGGAAUCUGCCCUAGAGUGGGGGAUAACCUACCGAAAGGUGGGCUAAUACCGCAUGAUUUCUACGGAAUAAAGGGGCCGAAGCAAUUCGGUUUUGCUUUAGGAUGAGCCUAUGUCGGAUUAGCUAGUUGGUAAGGUAAUGGCUUACCAAGGCGACGAUCCGUAGCUGGUCUGAGAGGACGAUCAGCCACAUUGGGACUGAGACACGGCCCAAACUCCUACGGGAGGCAGCAGUGGGGAAUAUUGGACAAUGGGGGAAACCCUGAUCCAGCAAUGCCGCGUGUGCGAUGAAGGCCUGCGGGGUGUAAAGCACUUUCGGUAAGAAAGAAAUAUUAAACCCUAAAUCGUUAAA
RNAcentral lists this ribosomal RNA (441 nucleotides) under gamma proteobacterium oral taxon F13. RNAcentral's name for it is "bacterial SSU rRNA". It matches the Rfam family "Bacterial small subunit ribosomal RNA", at positions 30 to 468 of the family's 1533-position model. Lineage: Bacteria; Pseudomonadati; Pseudomonadota; Gammaproteobacteria. The record is from RNAcentral.